AGAGGUUUAGUGUGCUUAGGAGGGGAUUAAGAGUGAUUGAUCCAUCCUAGUGGUGGUUUUCACUAGAAUAAUUGAUUUUGAUGAUUACAAUGUGGUUAAAAUAGAGUUUCUUUUCAAUGAUCAUCAAAUCAGAUCAUAAUUAGGUGAUUUUCCCUCAUUUGGCACGAUUAUAGCAUGAGUUUUAGGUGCGUGCCAAAGUUAGAGACGACUCGAGUAAGUUUCAGAGCCGGCUCCUAAGGGGGAGUCGACUCGCGCAUUUACGGGAGUCGACUCGCAAAGAUGGCAGCUGAGGAGGAGUCGACUCGCACAAUGUCGGGAGUCGACUCGAAGUCUACAGGCGCAUAAGGAGAGUCGACUCGCGCAUAUUCUGGAGUCGACUCGAGGUCGAGUCGACUCGCGACUCAGGGGAGUCGACUCGCAGUCGGAAUCCGACUUUUUAACCCUAGGUUUGUCGUUUCGCAAAUACUUUUCCUCAAGCCGCCACUGUUCACAAAGCCCUAGAGCCGACUCCUAGGUCAUCCCCGAUCGUCUCCAAGCCCUUUUCCCGUCGAUUUUUCGCCGGACAUUGAGUUUCCGUCCGUUCCUAAGUCAUUUCCGGUCCGUCCCGAGCUUCCUCUGUCGGUCCUUCACCGUCCUCUAGGUAUUUUUCUCCCAGUUUAGGUCAAGAUGCCUCGUAAGACCGUGGUUAGGAAGAGGUCCCGUCCCGAGGCCGGUCCCGAGCGGCGCUCCAAGGCGCGGCACGAUCCCGCGAGGCAACCACCUCCGGCUCGUUCCCCGCCUAGGGCGGUUCCCGCGAGGCCAUUGGCCGGGAAGGUCGUCUCCACCGGGAGGUAUGUCGAUUUCGAC
This 846-nucleotide long non-coding RNA is filed under the name Phoenix dactylifera (date palm). RNAcentral's name for it is "long non-coding RNA (PDAC_LNC005460)". The record is from RNAcentral. Lineage: Eukaryota; Viridiplantae; Streptophyta; Magnoliopsida; Arecales; Arecaceae.